AGUAAACAACCGCAUGGUAACUAAGCAGCGAUACUGAUUUAUUUGGGAAGUAACUAAGUUAGCUAGUAUAUGUUACGGGUAUUAAAAUAUCUCCUCAACAGUAAGUUUACUCUUAAGCUAUGGAGAGUGACGACACAAAGGUCAUGAGUCGGCGACAGAGGGAGCUUCCUCCUCUUCAGCAGCCACCACGUGGACCACGUGCCCUACCCCCAUUGC
Long non-coding RNA from Megalops cyprinoides (Indo-Pacific tarpon), 216 nucleotides. RefSeq lists it as uncharacterized. The transcript is spliced from 3 exons. NCBI's taxonomy places the organism in Eukaryota, Metazoa, Chordata, Actinopteri, Elopiformes, Megalopidae. The record is from RefSeq and is a predicted model, not a curated record.